UACGAAGGGGGCUAGCGUUGCUCGGAAUCACUGGGCGUAAAGCGCACGUAGGCGGCUUUCUAAGUCAGGGGUGAAAUCCUGGAGCUCAACUCCAGAACUGCCUUUGAUACUGAGUAGCUUGAGUCCGGGAGAGGUGAGUGGAACUGCGAGUGUAGAGGUGAAAUUCGUAGAUAUUCGCAAGAACACCAGUGGCGAAGGCGGCUCACUGGCCCGGUACUGACGCUGAGGUGCGAAAGCGUGGGGAGCAAACAGG
Molecule: ribosomal RNA, 253 nt
Filed under: uncultured bacterium
Lineage: Bacteria
Description: partial 16S ribosomal RNA
Rfam family: Bacterial small subunit ribosomal RNA
Source: RNAcentral